Molecule: ribosomal RNA, 712 nt
Filed under: uncultured Staphylococcus sp.
Lineage: Bacteria; Bacillati; Bacillota; Bacilli; Caryophanales; Staphylococcaceae
Description: bacterial SSU rRNA
Rfam family: Bacterial small subunit ribosomal RNA
Source: RNAcentral
CGAACAGACGAGGAGCUUGCUCCUCUGACGUUAGCGGCGGACGGGUGAGUAACACGUGGAUAACCUACCUAUAAGACUGGGAUAACUUCGGGAAACCGGAGCUAAUACCGGAUAAUAUAUUGAACCGCAUGGUUCAAUAGUGAAAGACGGUUUUGCUGUCACUUAUAGAUGGAUCCGCGCCGCAUUAGCUAGUUGGUAAGGUAACGGCUUACCAAGGCAACGAUGCGUAGCCGACCUGAGAGGGUGAUCGGCCACACUGGAACUGAGACACGGUCCAGACUCCUACGGGAGGCAGCAGUGGGGAAUCUUCCGCAAUGGGCGAAAGCUUGACGGAGCAACGCCGCGUGAGUGAUGAAGGUCUUCGGAUCGUAAAACUCUGUUAUUAGGGAAGAACAAAUGUGUAAGUAACUAUGCACGUCUUGACGGUACCUAAUCAGAAAGCCACGGCUAACUACGUGCCAGCAGCCGCGGUAAUACGUAGGUGGCAAGCGUUAUCCGGAAUUAUUGGGCGUAAAGCGCGCGUAGGCGGUUUUUUAAGUCUGAUGUGAAGGCCCACGGCUCAACCGUGGAGGGUCAUUGGAAACUGGAAAACUUGAGUGCAGAAGAGGAAAGUGGAAUUCCAUGUGUAGCGGUGAAAUGCGCAGAGAUAUGGAGGAACACCAGUGGCGAAGGCGACUUUCUGGUCUGUAACUGACGCUGAUGUGCGAAAGCG